RNAcentral lists this long non-coding RNA (3136 nucleotides) under Triticum aestivum (bread wheat). RNAcentral describes it as "long non-coding RNA (TAES_LNC021341)". Lineage: Eukaryota; Viridiplantae; Streptophyta; Magnoliopsida; Poales; Poaceae. The record is from RNAcentral.
UGUAAAAGCAGUUACUACAGCAUCAGUCUUGAUUUGGCAACAUCUCACGCACGACGGGGGUUGCGAUUGUUGGGUCAAACCUUGUCUCGGAGGCAUGCAUGCAGCGGCAGCAGCAGCAAAUACUUUGCUAGGAAGUAUUGGGCAUGUCGGCAGCAUGCAGCACCAGCGGCAGCAGUAAAAGAGGAGAGAAGUUACUUCAGUUGCCGUAACUUAGUAGCUAAGCAAAUGCUAGAUGUAAGCAGUGACGUGUCAUAGGAUAUGACGUAUGUGCUUAGAUCAAUUAGAACAGUAGGUCGGUUUGUAAGUGCUAUAUAAAGAGCACCACUCCACCCAGUUGGAGAAGGCCAUUCCAAUUUCAUUACAAGGCAUUUCCUCCUUCUAGUACCACCGUGUGUGCUCCAAGCCUCAAGUGCUAUGUACUAGUACUACUACUACUACUACGUGUGUGUGUGUGAUACACUAGUGAGUGUGUGAGUAGUACGUGUGUGUGCUCAUCCACCGGUCAUCUAUCAGUGUACUCGAGUGCUAGCGAGUAGUUCUGGGCUGACAAUUGGCAUCAGAGCCUCUGGUUGUGGUAGCCAUGGCCGGUGGUAAAGGAGUUCAGCAGCGCACCACCUCGGGUGGUUCCCAGGCGCGGCCAUCACAGGACGGCUCCCAGUCGCCGGCUCCGGAGGAGCGGCGAGGGCGCAGCCGCUCCAGGCGCGGCCAUCGCGGUGAGGUCGUGGUUAGGGAGGUCGUGCGCGAGACCGCGGUCAGUGGUAGCGUACCCAUCACCUUCCCGAUGCUCACACGCUCGAACUACAGCGAGUGGGCGUUGAUCAUGGAGUGCAACCUCCAUGCGGCGAGCCUCUGGGCUCCUAUGGAGGACGACCUGGUGGAGAGAAAGGAGGACAGGAAAGCGGUGGCAGCACUCAUGCGCGCCACGCCGCCGGAGAUGCACGGCAUGCUCGCGGCGAAGGCAAGCGCCAAGGAGGCGUGGGAAGCCAUCCGUACCCAGCGCCUCGGCAGCAACCACGUGCGCGAGGCGAACGCGCAGAAGCUGCGGGCGGACUUCGAGAACAUCGCCUUCAAGGAGGGCGAGCUCGUCGACAACUUCGCCAUGCGGAUCUCCAGCCUUGCGUCACAGCUCCGCGCGCUCGGCGACACCAUGGACGACGCGAGAGUCGUGCGGAAAUUUCUCCGCGUCGUUCCAUCUCGUUUCGCUCAGGUAGCGGUCUCCAUCGAGACUUUGCUUGACCUGAGCGAGCUCUCCAUCGAGGAGCUCACGGGCCGGUUGCGGGUGGUCGAGGACCGCCUUGAUGACGGCCGCGAGAGCUUCGGCGGCGGACAACUCCUAUUCUCGAAGAAGUGGGAGGCGAGGAAGCGUCAAGGACGUGGUGGCGGUGCCCAGAGCAGCGGAGGCGGCACCGGCAGAGGCGGCGGUCGCACCCAGGGUGGAGCCGGACGAGGUGCCGGCAACGACGACCGAGACAAGUGCCGAUAUUGCAGCAUCAAGGGCCACUGGGCCCGUGAGUGCCACAAGAGGAUGGCUGACGAGGAUGCCGCGGCCGCGGCGAACCUCGUCGAGGCUGAAGAAGACGGUGGGCCAGCAAUGAUGAUGGCUUGCGUCGAGACCAUGCAGGAGGGCGGAGUGCCUCCGGCGACCAUGGUCCUGAUAAGCAUCGAAGCCGUGCAGGAGGGCGCAGCACCUCCGGCGACCACGGUGCCGACAACCGUUAAGUCCGUGCGGGAGGCACGGAGCUCUUCAAGUAAUCCCCUCUCGACAUCGGUAGCGCUCUCCUCGGCAACAACGUUCUCGGGAGGCUACGAUUGGGAGGAGAUGAAGACCCGGGUGUGGGGGAGCCACACCCCGGAAACCACGUCCCCUGCGACGCUGGUCAAGCCCGUGCAAGUUGGCACGGCAAAGGCGUACCCGACAUCCUCGGGACCCAAUAAGCCCGUGUCAGGAGGCACGGCAACGACGCAUAUGGUGGGCCAUGUCCCAACCAUGAUGCUGGUGACCAGUGAGACCGUGCAAGAGGCACGACACUCUCAGGUCGGCCAUACCCCGACAACCAGGUUCUCGGGGUUCUGCAAGCCCGUGUGGGCAACACGGCACUCUUCGACGGGCCUCAACAGCUGGGAGGCCAUGAAGAGAAGGUCAUGGGGCGGCAAGGCCUCGACCGUGACUCUGGCGACCAUCGAGGCUGUGCAGGAGGCGCGGUGCUCUAUGGUCAGCCACGCAGCAACCCUGACGCGCUCGGGGUCCAUCGAGUCCGUGCAGAAGGCACGACUCACAACUGUCGGAGGAGAUCCGACAAGCAAGUCUGAUGGGAAGAGCACCAAGGACUCCGCUACCCUGAGAGGAGCCACUCCGGUCAGUGUGGCGUCCGGCACAACGACCCCGGGAAGGGAGUUCCCGGGCAGUGCGGUGUCCGGCACAACGACCCCAGGAAGGGAGUUCCUGGGUAGUGCGAUGUCCGACAAGUCAUCCCCGAGAAGGGAGUUCCUGGGUAGCAUGACGUCCGACACGAUGACCGCGGGAAGGGAGUUCCAUGGCAUUGUGACGUCAGGAACUACGUCCCCAGGAACACUGACGCCCACAGGCGAGGUGGUUCCCGGGCAUGUCAUGUCCCCGCCAACAGCGUGGUCGGACCUGUUCGAUGCCGACAACAACGUUGGCACUCCACACAGGUUCCGACGCCCAGAGGGUUAUUCUCGGCGAGCCUGCGGGACGAUCGCAGCACUGCGAGAUCAAGAAGGACGAGCACGGCGUACGGGCUACACAAACCAUGAGAAGGCUGACAUCCCAAAGAAGGCACUUGGUCGCAUUCGGUUCCGGGAACCACGCGACAAGAUCGGGAUCAUGGAAACAAGCUCCUUCGACAAGGUUGAGGAGGAGAUUGUUGGGUCAAACCUUGUCUCGGAGGCAUGCAUGCAGCGGCAGCAGCAGCAAAUACUUUGCUAGGAAGUAUUGGGCAUGUCGGCAGCAUGCAGCACCAGCGGCAGCAGUAAAAGAGGAGAGAAGUUACUUCAGUUGCCGUAACUUAGUAGCUAAGCAAAUGCUAGAUGUAAGCAGUGACGUGUCAUAGGAUAUGACGUAUGUGCUUAGAUCAAUUAGAACAGUAGGUCGGUUUGUAAGUGCUAUAUAAAGAGC